CCUACGGGAGGCAGCAGUAGGGGAUAUUGCUCAAUGGGGGAAACCCUGAAGCAGCGACGCCGCGUGGGGGAUGAAGGUUUUCGGAUUGUAAACUCCUUUUAGUAGAGAAGAUAAUGACGGUAUCUAACGAAUAAGCACCGGCUAACUCCGUGCCAGCAGCCGCGGUAAUACGUAGGGUGCAAGCGUUACUCGGAAUCACUGGGCGUAAAGAGCGCGUAGGCGGGAUAGCAAGUCAGAUGUGAAAUCCUAUGGCUUAACCAUAGAACUGCAUUUGAAACUGUUAUUCUAGAGUAUGGGAGGGGUAGGUGGAAUUCUUGGUGUAGGGGUAAAAUGCGUAGAGAUCAAGAGGAAUACUGAUGGCGAAGGCGACCUGCUAGAACAUAACUGACGCUGAGGCGCGAAAGCGUGGGGAGCAAACAGGAUUAGAUACCCGAGUAGUC
Molecule: ribosomal RNA, 440 nt
Filed under: uncultured bacterium
Lineage: Bacteria
Description: partial 16S ribosomal RNA
Rfam family: Bacterial small subunit ribosomal RNA
Source: RNAcentral